GAUGAACGCUAGCUACAGGCUUAACACAUGCAAGUCGAGGGACCGGCGCACGGGUGAGUAACACGUAUCCAACCUGCCCUUUACUCGGGGAUAGCCUUUCGAAAGAAAGAUUAAUACCCGAUAUAAAGGAUGGGGAUGCGUUCCAUUAGGUUGUUGGUGAGGUAACGGCCCACCAAGCCUUCGAUGGAUAGGGGUGCGGAGAGGAAGGUCCCCCACAUUGGAACUGAGACACGGUCCAAACUCCUACGGGAGGCAGCAGUGAGGAAGAUUGGGCAAGGGGCGUUAGCCUGAACCAGCCAAGUAGCGUGAAGAAGGAAGGCUUAUGGGUCGUAAAUUUGUGUUAUAUAAGAAUAGGUAUUAUAUGAAUAAGGAUCGGCUAACUCCGUGCCAGCCGCCGCGGUAAUAC
RNAcentral lists this ribosomal RNA (406 nucleotides) under uncultured bacterium. RNAcentral describes it as "partial 16S ribosomal RNA". It matches the Rfam family "Bacterial small subunit ribosomal RNA", at positions 28 to 526 of the family's 1533-position model. The record is from RNAcentral.